This 414-nucleotide long non-coding RNA is filed under the name Trifolium pratense (red clover). RNAcentral describes it as "long non-coding RNA (TPRA_LNC000672)". Lineage: Eukaryota; Viridiplantae; Streptophyta; Magnoliopsida; Fabales; Fabaceae. The record is from RNAcentral.
UGAAAAUCAAGAGUGAUACCUACACUUUUGGGAGAACACGCAUCGGGUUUCAGAAUGAAAUCUUUUCCAUUUGAUGAGAGAAUUUGAAAAAAUAAAAUAAAAAGAGGGAUUAGAAAAUUAGGGAUUAAAGUAGAUUGAAGAAAAAUUGGGGAUUUCAAAAACGAAGAGUAAGAGUUUGAAAUUACCUGCUCCGUCAGAAUAAAAAUCGGCCCAGCAACAUCCAUGAGAUUCUUCUUUGGAAGGAAAAUCGAGUUCAUCAAGUGAAGAAGGUUGUGGCUUUGGUGAUUAGAGAGGGAGAGAGAGUUUGAAAUUUGAAAUUUGAGAAUCUGUUUUUCAAUAUCAGUCAGACAAAUUUGUUGGUAAUGAAAGUGACUUGACACUGUUCCUUUGCUAAGAAUGAAAGGGAUAGCUGCU